This 252-nucleotide ribosomal RNA is filed under the name uncultured bacterium. RNAcentral's name for it is "partial 16S ribosomal RNA". It matches the Rfam family "Bacterial small subunit ribosomal RNA", at positions 80 to 334 of the family's 1533-position model. The record is from RNAcentral.
CCAAAAGCUGGCGACCGGCGCACGGGUGAGUAACACGUAUCCAACCUGCCUCAUACUCGGGGAUAGCCUUUCGAAAGAAAGAUUAAUAUCCGAUAGCAUAUAUUUCCCGCAUGGGUUUUAUAUUAAAGAAAUUCGGUAUGAGAUGGGGAUGCGUUCCAUUAGUUUGUUGGGGGGGUAACGGCCCACCUAGUCUUCGAUGGAUAGGGGUUCUGAGAGGAAGGUCCCCCACAUUGGAACUGAGACACGGUCCAA